AAUCCCCAACCAUAGUGCGCUUGGAGCUGUGAGGGAAUUCGAAGUGACCACCCGUUCUGAAAGUUUGAUUUUCUUCUGGCGGUUCGUGUGUGGAUCUCGUCAACAUAUCGUCGCAAACAGGUGAGUCUUGAUGUAGGUGACUUGGAGCCGAAGGGGAUUCAGAGUGGCCAUUGUGAACACUUUUGGGUUUGAAAAAGAGACUGGUUUUCUUAAGUUAUUUUUUAUUACUAUUUAAGUUUUGGGUUGUAAGAAGGCCAUUUUAACUUUAUUUUCUUCUUUGAUUUUCUGAGAUUAUAUUAUUUUAAACAA
Long non-coding RNA from Gossypium arboreum, 309 nucleotides. RefSeq lists it as uncharacterized. The record is from RefSeq and is a predicted model, not a curated record. The transcript has 3 exons. NCBI's taxonomy places the organism in Eukaryota, Viridiplantae, Streptophyta, Magnoliopsida, Malvales, Malvaceae.